RNAcentral lists this long non-coding RNA (17981 nucleotides) under Nicotiana tabacum (common tobacco). RNAcentral describes it as "long non-coding RNA (NTAB_LNC013689)". Lineage: Eukaryota; Viridiplantae; Streptophyta; Magnoliopsida; Solanales; Solanaceae. The record is from RNAcentral.
CAACAGUUAUAUUAAUUCAUAAUUAAGUCAUUAAUAAGCGAUAAAUCCCAAAAUAGAAUAUAACAGAACAUUUGCAGAAAUAAACACAGCCCGACAUCAGGGUGUCACCAGUCAUGAGCAUCUAAAACAUCUGUCUAAGAGUAUGAAGAGUCUACAUAGUCUACUACAAUUCCAGUACAAAUGAAAAUAUAGACAGGGAGAAGAAACACGGGGUUGUGAACGCCGAGCAACUACCUAGUGGACUCUGAACAGGCUGCUAGAAGUAAUCAACCCUCGCUGGUAGGACCUGAGGCUCCUGAAUCUGCACACAGGGUGCAGGGAGUAAUGUGAGUAUGCCAACUCAUUGAGUAAUAAAAGUAAAAGUAGCUGAGAGAUAAGAAAACACAUAAACCACAACAAAAUGCUACAAGGAGACAGUGUAAAACCAAUAUAAUGCAAUAAAAUAGUGCAAUCUUAUAAAAACACCUUAGUUCAGAAUAAACUUCUUUAAAACAUCUUUUAACAGUUAAACUAGUGAAUGAAAAGCAGUGAGAAAAGAUAAACACAUAAAACCAGCCCCUCGAGCAAAGUAGCAAUAGAUUCAGCCCCUCGGGCUAUCUCACAAUCACUCGUAUCAGCCCCUCAGGCAAUAACAUAGAACAACAUCAGCCCCUCUAGCUAUAUCACAUCUCAAACUGGGUAUUCGCGCUCAUUGGGGAUGUAUAGACUCCGGGAGGGACCCUUUAUGGCCCAAGCGUAAUAACAAGCUAUCUCGUAGCAUAAUCAAACAGGCUCUCGGCCUCAUAUCAAUCCACCUUGUGGCGUACAACUCAGGCCUUCGGCCUCAUAAUCAUGAAUCAGCAUAAUAUUGCUGCAGCGCGCAGCCCGAUCCCAUAUUAACCUCACAACACAGGCCCUCGUCCAUACUCAGUCAGAAAUCUCUAAAAGCCACUCGGGCACAGUAAAAUAUAAUGCUCAGCUCAAAUUAUCCUUUAAGAUGUCAAAACAGAGUAAACAUGGCUGAGUUAUGAAAAACAAUAGAAUAUAGCAUGACUGAGUUCAAGUAUAAAGUCAAAACAGUGAGGAAUAGUGUAAAAAUCCCCAAAUGGUUCAAAACAGUUGGCAUGAGGCCCAAAUAUGGCAUUCAGCCCAAGACAUGAUGAUAGCAAACAGUUUUCAACCGAAUACGCAGUAAAACAGUUAUUCAGGAUGGACUAAGUCACAAUCCCCAACAGUGCACGACCCCUCGCUCGUCAUCUAGCGUGUGUGUCACCUCAAAAUAGCACAACGAUGUGAAAUCUAGGAUUUCAUACUCUAAGGACAACAUUUACAAUCAUUACUCACUCUAUCUGGUCCAAACUCAAGCCUGUGAUGCCUUUACCUCUCGAAUCGGCCUCCGAAUACUCUAAAUCUAACCAAAAUCAGUACACGACCAUCAAAAUAUGCUAAGGGAACAAAGCCCACUCGAAAGUAAUCAAAAUACAAUGCAAAUCCCGAAAUUAACCAAACUCGACCCCCGGGCCCAUGUCUCAGAAUUCGAUAAAAUUUAUAUCAAUCAACUCCUUAUCUCCCCACGAGUUCAUACAUAUCAAAACUACCAAAAUUCGACUACAAAUGGCCCCUCAAACUCUUACUCAAAGCUCUCCAAUCUCAUGCCCUAAUUCCCAAUUUUAACCCUUAAUUCCCAUUAAUUUCAAGUCAAAUCAGUGAAAUAACACCAUAGAAACGAGUUUAGGAUCCAAAAACAUUACCUCUAUGAAAUCCCUCUUCAAAUAGCCCCCUCAAGCUCAAACCCAUAUGAAAAUGGUGAAGAAUAGCUCAAAAAUCAUGAUGAAAACCUUUUAUACUUUCUGGACCUGCGGUCCAGAUUCCGCUUUUGUGCUACCGUUUCUGCGGUCCAAAACACCACAUCUGCGGUUUUCACUUAAAGUUCAAGUCCCGCAUCUGCGAUCCUUUCCUCGCACCUGCGCUACCGCAGGUGCACUUCUUUAGCCGCUUCUGUGGUUUCAACUGACACCUUCUUGGACGCUUCUGCAGCUUGCUUCCAUAUCUGCAGGUUCGCACCUGCGGCCUCCCAACCGCAGAUGCAGUUAUGACAGCAGUCCUAAAUCUUCAGCUGCAAAAAUCCAACUCAAAUCUUCCGUCAACCAUCCGAAAUCACCCCGAGGCCCCCGGAACCUCAACCAAAAUCACAAACAAGUCAUAUACCACUAUCCAAACUUAUACCAAUCUUCAAAACACCCCAAACAACAUCGAAUCAACCAAAUCACAUCGAAUUCAAGCCUAAGGUUCCAAAAUCUUCCGAAUUCCGCUUUUGAUCAAAAAGUCUACCAAACCACGUCCGAAUGACCUGAAAUUUUGCACACACAUCCCAAAUGACACAAUGGACCUCUGCAACUCUCAGAAUUCCAUUUCGACUCCUAUAUCAAAAUUUCACCAUUCAACUGGAAAAUGCCCGAAAUACCAAUUUCGCCAAUUCAAACCUAAACCGACCUCCAAAACAUGUUCCGAUCACACUCCUAAGUCACAAAUCAUCUCCAGAAGCUAUCCGAACCAUCGAAAUUUACAUCCGAACCCUUUAUCACAUAAGUCAACAUCCAGUUGACUUUUCCAACUUAAGCUUACUCAAAAGAGACUAAGUGCCUCAAACCUUACCAAUACCUCUCUGAACCCAAGCCAACCAAUUCGAUAAAACAUAAUAUAGCUGAACAAGGCAAUAGUGAGCAGAAAUGGAGAAAAUAGAGCGGUAACUCAUGAAACGACCGGUCGGGCCGUUACAACACAUUUAUUUGAUUCACCUAUGGGGUUAAUUCCCUCUUACAAGGUUAGAAAUGAGACUUACCUCAUCUUAAAUCCCACUUUCCUGUCACAAUUUUGCUAUAAAGCCCCAACUUGGUGCCGUUCAAUCCGAAACAAGUCAAACGAUGUGCAAAUUAAUUAAAAAAUAUACUCCAACACUUAAAAUUUAACAAUUUAUAAAAAUUCUGCUCCGCUCGAAAAGUUGGUAGUGGGGCCCACGUCUCGGAACCUGAUGAAAUUUACAAAAUCCAACAACCCAUUUCAAUACGAGUUCAACCAUACCAUUUUAUCAAAUUCCGAUAACAACUUGUCCUCCAAAUCUUAAAUUUUAGUUCUUGAAAAUUUCUGCAAAAAUCUUGAUUUCAUCCAUUUAAAUCCAAAAUAAAUGAUGAAUAUAACCAUAGAAUCAUGAAGUAUAAUACCUUUAGGAUAUAGAACACUUACCCCACUCCAUAUGAUGAAAAUCGCUUCAAUCCGAGCUCCAUAGCUCCAAAUAUGUUUAAAAUGGCUGAAACCUCGAAAUAUAGCUUCUGCCCAGAUAUUUACUCUUCACGAUCGUGAAGCACAACAUUUCUCAGCCUUCGCGAUCACGAAAAAUGCUUCACAAUCGCGAAGAACAAAUGCCCAGCCCUUCCAGACAACCUCUAGUAUAAUGGUCAAAACUUUUUGUACAAAAAUCCAAAUUGUAAAUGGUUUGAUUUUCUGAAAACUAGACACAAAUGGCUACAACUUUAAUUUUUGGAUCAUCUCCAAAUUCUUUAUAGAUUGCAAGAUACGAGCUUCCAAAGUCGGGUCAGUGCAGCAGAAACUUUACUCUACGCGAUCGCAAAGGCCUUCCGCGAUCGCGAAUCACUGGCUAAUUUCUCCCAUUUUCCUCAUCGCGAUGGCGACCAGUUCCCCGCAAUCGUAUAGCAUACUGCUGUAGCUAAAAACUAGCAGCUAAAAAUGGCCUAGAAAUGGUCCGAAACCACCCCAAAACUCACUUGAGCCCCUCGGGAACCCGUCCGAAUAUAACAACAAGUCUCAAACCAUAUCACGGACUUAGUUGAGACCUCAAAGCACAUCAAAUAACGCUGAAAACACGAAUCACACCCCAAUUCUAGUCUAAUGAAACUAAGAAAUUCCAUUUUCUAAAUUUGAUGCCGAAACCUAUCAAAUCACGUCCGAUUGACAUCAAAUUUUGCACACAAGUCACAUUCGACAUUACGAACCUACUCCAACUUCUAGAUCGAAGUUUGACCCCGAUAUCAAAAAGUCCACUCCCGGUCAAACUUCUCAAAAACCUUCAAAUUUAUAACUUUUGUCGAAUGACCCCGAAACAACCUACGGACCUCCAAAUCCACUUUCGGACGUGCUCCUAAUACCAGAAUCACCAUACGAAGCUAUUCCCACACUCGAAAUCCCAAGCAGGCAUCGGUAACAAUGAAAUAGACCUCAACCCAAAUUUAUAAAAUUCUUCCAAAAUGCCAACUUCCACAAUAGGCACUGAAACUCUCCCGAGUCAUCCAAAACCCGAUCCAGAUAUACGUCCAAGUCCAGAAACAUCAUACGAACCUGUUGGAACCUUCAAAUCCCGAUUUUGAGGUCGUUUACUCAAAAAUCACACUUUAGUCAAUUCUUCCAACUUGAAGCUUCCGAAAUGAGAAUUUUCUUUCUAAAUAACCUCCGAAUUUCCCGAAAUUCAAUUUCAACCAUGCAUGUAAGUCAUAAUACCUGAAGUGAAGCUACUCAGGGCCUAAAACUGCUGGAUGACGCACUAGUGCUCAAAACGUCCGGUCGGUUCAUUACAUUCUCUCACACUUAAACAUAAGUUCGUCCUUGAACGUGCUAAGGACUGCUAGAGAGUUGUCUGAAAUCACCGUUUAACACCUCGUGCACCUACCCAUGCCACCACAACUCAGUUGGUCACAUUUACUCGAGCUAAUCUGAAGAUAUUCCCUUUUACUCAGCCAAAUGGGCCUUAGAUCCCAAUUCCAACAUCGGAAUUCUCCGCCAGGCCUGUUUCCAUCAUAUGAACACCGCAUCAACCUUUAUGCGAUGCACCAAUACAUGAUUGCUUACCUUUGCUUAAUCCACACUAUGUACUGCAUAACUCAUAUGACCAUAAUAACAUCCUUUGAUAACAAUAGCCAAAAUUUCAUGAAUCUGAUGCUCACAAUGCACCUCAUGACAUAUAUAAGUCUUGUUCCAACUCUUGCAAUACCGCCACGAAGGAAGAGAUGUGUAGAAAUUCAUAACCAACUUUCGAGACAACAAAUCGCUGAGUUCGUCCUCCUGAUAGGAACAUUUACCUCAGUAUGAACCAAAUAACAAUAUUACUCUUUAAUAUACUGCAUAUAAUCCGAUCGCACUGAUCCCACAUCCAAUAAUUUCGUCUCAUCCAGUAUAAGUUAUUCAGGCAAUAAGCCACCCCAGACACGACCAAGAGUCUCAUAUGAUGCCACAAUGUUCCAACAAGCUACCAACUUGAAUGUGAUACAUAAGGAAAACAAACUUUGGAAAGGACUACUCAACCCAUGUAACGAAUUAGACAACCGAAAAAGUAUUACGAACCUUCCUCAGAAAAUGGAAACAAAACACACAAGGAUAGAUAUAGGGGAUUGUACUCAACAUCACACUAUUACGGUGUGCAAUCCCAUCCACACAUAAAAUCUAAAUAAGGAGAUACUUCCCGAGCUAGAAUGCUCAUUACUACAAAAUAACCAAAUAUCGGCCACAAGCACACCAAGUGCAUAAUAUCAUCCUUGGGGAGACGGAUAGCGCCAUACGAUAUAAAACUCAACCACAACUAAGGUGCGAUAUUUGAUCUAUAUCUCGAGAGCUAUCUUGCUCACAUAAUACCAUCUCUACGCGGAACCUCAACACAUAUGAAAUUUAUCAAGCCAUUUCACAACUCAUACUGCAUAAUAUAGUAUUACAUGAAAGAGUCGACGACAAAACAACAUCCAACGUCUGAAUACUCCUCCAUAAGGAGUGCUAUGCUGAAAUGAAUACAUCCGGCUUGAUAUAGAGCCCACGUUCUCAUUCAGAUCCAUCCACAUACCUCAAGUCGAUUCUGAUCGUACCGCACUAAGCCAGUAACCUAUAAAGGAUCCGCAGUAACCCUUCUUCCCAUGGCACAAGAACAGUCGUUAAUCCGGAACAAACUUCCACAGUCCACAACCAAAUGAACUGAGUGCCCUUUACGCAUAAAUUCUCACAUGAACAAUAGUACCAUAAUCUCUAUACUUGGUUCCAAUCUUCAAUCAAUCAAGUGACUACAUGUCACACUUAUAAAAUCUUCUCGUGGUCACGCUCCCACGACCUUCCGCACCAGGUAAUAAUUCUGCACAUCCAUACUGUCACGAUCCUAAACCAUCCCGGUCAUGAUGGCGCCUAUCGCAUUACUAGGCUAGCCGAUCCGACAUUUAUAACAUAAACAGGUCUUUUUCUUAAUUCAUUUACUAAUCAGAUAUUAUCACAAAUCCUUCGUUUAAACAUUUUAGAACAAGCGGAUAAUUAUGCAAAACAUCAAACACUGCCCGAUCCCGGAGUCACUAGUGAUGAACCACUAAAAUACAACAUGAUAUUGUCUACUCAAUACAAGAUGAGUCUGAUAAAUACAAAUACUAAAAGAUAGGAAGGAGAAAGGCAGGGUUUCGGACGUUGUGCAGCUACCUUGCUAACUACGGAAAUGCUCUGAAGGAAAAGGUCAUCUCUCACUCGGAUGCCCUAGCACCUGGAUCUGCACAUAAGGUGCAGGGAGUAACAUCAAUAAGCCAACUCAGUAAGUAACAAUUAUAAAUAAAGGCUGAGUGCAAUGACGAGCAUUUAAAAUCAUAUACAUCUCAUAACAUAAAAAUCUCAUUGGAAAUAACAAAGUCAAAUCAGUAAUUAAAUUCUGAACAUCUUGUAAAAAUUCCAGUUUCAAUGAAAGUUUCUAAAAUGUUUAUUCAACAUUUUCAUUAGAGGAUCAGUACAAAAGAAGAGUGAAAAUAGUAACUUCAUAAAACAAGUCCUUCGGGAAAAGUAUCACUCAUAUAUAUAUAGCCCCUCGAGCAAGCCUCUCAGUCACACGUGACUCAACUCUCAUCAAUCAGCACUCACGUUCAAUAGGUACCUUAUAAUAACCGUUGUGGUGUGCAGCUCGAUCCAAAAAUACAUAGCCAACUGCGCUCAUUGGGGGUGUGCAGACUCCGGAGAGGCUCCUACAGCCCAAGCAUUAUAUCGCUGCGGCGUGCAGCCCAAUCCAUACACACACACACACACACACACACACACACACACACACACAUAUAUAUAUAUAUAUAUAUAUAUAUAUAUAUAUAUAUAACGAUGUGGUGUGUAGCCCGAUCCUUAACUAUCCUCACAAUCCGGCUCUCGAUUUCACUCACUCAUCAACCUCACAAGCCACUUGGGCAUUUCAGUAUAAGCUCAGGGAACUCAGCCCAAAACAACUUUCAUAUAUUAAAAUAGAGUGAUGAACAAGAUUAAACAAUAAGUAGGUAUAAACCAUGACUGAGGAUAAUGCUUUCUAUCAAAAAUAAUGUGAGGAUAACAGAAAAAUACCCCUGAGGGUCCAAACAGUACGGCACAAGUCCCAAAACAUGGCAUUCAGCCCAAGCUAACAAAUUUAUUUCUAAAACACAUAGAUAUCAUAUAGAGUUUAUCAAAAUAUGCAACUCUACAGUUUCAACAGGAUGGACUAAGUCACAAUCUCUGCAGGUGCACGCCCACACGCCCGUCACCUAGUAUGUAUGUCACCGCAUUUAUCAAAAUUGUACGAAAUUCCAGGGUUUCAUACCUUCAUAUCUAGAUUUACAAUCAUUACUUACCUCAAACCAGACGAAAAUCUACUCCGUGAUGCCUUUGCCGCUCGACUCGGCCUCAAAUCGUCAAUACAUGCUAAAGGAACAAAGCCCACGCAAAAAUUAUCAAAUUAUAUCAAAAUUCCCAAAAUUGGCCAAACCUUACCCCUGGACCCACGUCUCGGAAUUCGAUAAAAGUCACAACACUAGAAUCCCUUAUCCCCUCAUAAGUCCAUACAUACCAAAUUUACCAAAAUCCAACUUCGUUUGAUGCCUUUAUCACCCAAUUUUAACUCUCAAGUUCCAAGCCCUAAUUCCCCAAUUUUCACCCUUAAAUCUAACAAAUUCCAAGCUUAAUCUACUGAAAAUCACCAUAGAAUUGAGUAUUAAGUUCAAAAAUCUUACCUCAACAAGUUUCCCCUUGAUUCCCUCUUCAAAACCCUCUAAAAGCUCCAAAAACCGAGUUGAAAUUGUGAAGAAUGACCAAAAUGCGCGAAGGGGAACUUAUAUACUUUCUGCCCCAGGGAUUCCGCACCUGCAGACAAUAACUCGCACUUGUGGACUCGCACCUGCAGUCCCAAGUGCGCACCUGCAAAAAUCACUUAAAGGACCGGGACCGCAUCUGCAAUAGUUACCGCACAUGCGGUGCCGCAGAUGCGUCCAAAUAAUCGCAUCUUAUCCUGAUGACCAAAACACGCACCUGCGAUCUCCUUAUCGUAUUUGCGACUUCUCACCUGCGGUCCCCAAUCCACAGGUGCGGAAAUGACAGAAGCAGCAAAAUCUGUAUCAACAACUCAAAGCCAAACUUCCUGUCAACCACUCAAAUCCAUCCCGAGGCCAUCGGGACCUCAACCAAACAUAUCAACAAGUCACAUAUCAUCAUUCAAACCUAUACCAACCUUCAAAACACUCAAAACAACAUCGAAACACCAAAUCACCCUCGGAUUCAAGCCCAAGGAUUUCCAAACUAUCGAACUCCGCAAACGAUGCCAAAACCUAUCAAACCUCAUCCAAAUUACCCGAAAUUUUGCAUACACAUGACAAAUGACACAACAGACGUACUCCAAUUUCCAAAAUUUCAUUCCGAUCUUGAUAUUAAGAUUUCCACUGCCGACCAGAAAACGCAAAAUUUUCAAUUUCGUCAAUUCAAGCCUAAAUCUACUACCGACCUCCAAAUUACAUUCUGAACACGCUCCUAAGUCCAAAAUCACCUAAUGAAGCUAUCCGAACCAUAAAAACUAACUUGCGAGAUCAUAUAUCCAGAAGUCAACUUCCGGUUGACUUUUUCAACUAAAGCUUCUAAAUAAGAGACUAUGUAUCUCAUUCCAUUCCACGAGCACUUUGAAUCCGAACCAACCAACAUGAUACGAUGAAAUACAAUUGAGCAAUACAUAAAGAAGUAAAAAUAGGGGGAAAUGGGACUAUAACUCAUGAAACGACCGGCCGGGUUGUUACACAUACCACCGACCAUACUAAUGUUGUAAAGCAAAUCAAGGAUCCGCAAAUAAGUACUCAAAGCCUCUUACAGAGGACAUCGAUCUCAGGUGACGCUAAAGACAAUACCAGCUUACUCUAACCAUCUGAAUCUCUUUUCCUUGUUCAUCCGAGCUGGUGAUAUUCUUGUCGACACCCAAAUCGCAACCUUGAUCCUCAACUUCCAACUCCCCUGCUACUCGAUACACUUAAUCAUGUCUAUGCACAAGAGUACAAGAAUUUCAUCAUAACUCAUGAUCCACUAAUAGGGUACACACUUUAUCAUAUAGAAACCUUUUACUUAACUCAUUUCAAGAGGACCAUUGCAACACGUGACUGAAUUCCCAUAACCGCAGAAAAUACAAUCCUCAAGUAGGGGUCUAAGCCACCAUAACUCUUCUGAGGUCCGUCUACACUUAUCAGACUAUUAUAAUUGAAUAUCUCUAAAUAAAUCUAAUUGCAGCGGCCGCCAAGCCUCGCACGUACCGCCACCAAUCAUCUACAUAACGUAACAUGCUGAAGGAACUGAUCAUUGCCACCACCAUGUCGAUUCAACCAUUGCUAAUGGAACCAAAUUCUUCUAAUUUGCUUUGGACUUUCCUUAGAAAUAACAAUGGCUCAAUUCAAAAUAUAACAAACUCAAUCUGCACUCAUCCUGAGUGAUCCCAUUUCACGAGACCACAUUGUCUCAAAACCCACAAUUCAUCUCAUACCCUCCUUGUGCGCACAUUCGCAUCUUCAACUGGUAAACCUAUUCUGAUAAUUCCUCUAUGAAGUCCGAAGUUAUUUUCUCCCAUUCCUCUAAUGCUACACCACAUACCGAAGAUAACAUUGAAUACUCCAAGCCCUUUUCAUAAUCCGUUGCAAAAGCUCGAUACUAAACCAUAUCAUGGACCCAAAAUCCUUAGGCACCGAACUUUAAUUUUGAACCUACUAGGGCCAUUGUUGAGAGUCACCCACUCUGACUUAUUCUCGAAUAUAGUCACACUCCAAUGCCUUGCUAGCACAUGAACACCCUCUCUAGGAAGCAACCGGCUGAAUUAUUUUCCUUAUACAUCACAUCCACAUGAAGCAUAGACUCUGAGUCUUCCCAAACAUGAACAUGAAACGAUAAGGCCAAAGAUAGCACAUAUUCCUCAAAUCCUUUGCUCAAAUUACCACUGAUGUUUUUUUCCUUAGUCAUAAUAACCCACCAAUACACCGAUAAUUAGAAACCACACAAGUAGACAACCACGCAGUCCAAUCAUAGACGGUGGGGCUCUCCCACUUAGCUUGAAGCUACAAUUACAUAACCCUGAGACCCACCGAAGUUCCUUCUUCCCCAUUGGCAUCAACUAAAUGUCCAAAAACGCAUUCCAAACUCGAAGUCAUGUUGCACCUAAAUAAAAAUUUGUGGACCUAGUGCAUUUCCACCAUGAAUUACCCAAAUAGCUCCAGACUUUCCUCAAGGCGUGUGACCAUCCUACCACAGAACUUAUAUAUUACUCUGCCACUCUCCCACUUUGGUUCAACCCUCUCCUUUAAGCAACUCCUCGACUUCUACUUUUCACACAUAACUUUCUAGAAAUUCAACCACCGCAAAACACCUCCUACAUGUCCUUCGUCGCCCAACUGUUGCCCCAAAUCCGAUUCUAUCUUUGUAACACCCGAAAAAAUGAGCCGCCACCAACUCUAAACCUCUUAGAAGAUUAUCUUUCUCGAGCCAUCAAUAGUAGAAGUACCAAUUCGAUUCCGAAAUUGCUACACUCUGUUAUCUCUGACACCCACAUCUCAAGAACCAUUUCACAAUACCCUACCCCGAAGGCAAAUUGAAGAAGUCCAUAACAUCGGCGAAGCUUAACGUGUUCAAUCAAGGGCGAGAUGAAAAUUCCACCACGCUUGAAAGUACCAAGUUUUGUUACCCCUCCAACCCAAACUUGAACAUUCAUAGAACGAUUGUCUUUCCUCCACCAGAAAUAAAAUACUAAAUAUCUGAAUCACGCACUGGGUAAAGCUCCUUCCAAGUCACCCACUACCCUAACACAUAGGCAAGCAUCUUACCAUUACAUCACUAUUGUGCGAUAACAAUUCAUGAGCAUCUAUCAACCUGUGUAUAGCCUCAAACUCUCAGAAGUACAACUACUGGGUCGAAACGACAGAAUAUCCUUCUGCAAGGCGACGACAAUAGCUCAAUCAACUACGCAGGAAGAAACAUCUCGCACCACAUCUGUAGUACCAUUACAAUUCCUCAAUUCCCAAUUGAUAACCAGCGAUUCAUGUUGCAUAAGAUUAAAUAGUAAGGAAAUAAAGGUACAAGCCUCAAAAAGAUCAGUUUGCACGAUGAGGAAUCAAGAAGGGAAGUGCUCCUAAUAGCCAUGUAGCCUCUUGAAGAUAAGUACAAACGUUUCCGUACCGAUUCGCAAGGCUCUACUAGACUUGCUCAAGACUCGUGAGACCUAAGUGAACCUAGUGCCCUGAUACCAUGUUGUCAUGACCCAAAAUCUGUUAAAGGUCGUGAUGGCGUCGUACACCACUAUCAGGGAAGCCAACACUAAAUAGUUAAUUAAACUCUCAUUUUUAUAUUUCUAAAAUCAUAAAUUUCCUUCAAGUUAACUAGUAAAAGAUGAACUUUAAGGAAUAAUAAUAACGUUUCUCGAUUUCAAUAUUAAAUAUCCCAUAAUCAUCCCAGAACUCGGUGUCACAAGUGCAUAAAUAUUUACUAGUAAAUAAAAUAAAAUAAAAUAACUAUCCGGAAUUCAAAUUUGAACAUAAAAGAAAAGACAAAUACUCUGAUGGAGACUCUGCUGGUUGCGGAUCAUACACAAGAUGCAGCUCACCUAAGUCCCUGUAUCAAUCAUGCCACUGCGCCCACAAGGCCACUAGACAUACAUGUGCCUAUACAAUAAAAUGUAUAGCAAGUGUAGUAUGAGUACCAAAACACCGUGUACCCAAUAAGUAUCUAGUCUAAUCUCGAAGAAGUAGUGACGAGAGGUCGACUCUGACACUUACUAUGGCCAACAAUAAUAUAUCGUUAAUAUGAUAAAUUAUGGGUUUUAUAAGACGACUAUAAAUUCAAUAACAUGAAGUAGGUAAACAAUUCUUUUGUUAGUAGGACAUUUCCAAAUUUAUUUUCAUAUUUUUAACUAUUCAUAUCUCCGGCCAAUGAUGGAACAUAAAUCAUCAAUAAUCUCAAAACAAUCAAUCAAGCCAUGCGCAAAUCAUGCCAAGGUCGUACGGCCCGAUCCAACAUAAUAUUUAAUUGUGCACUGCUGGAGGGUCAAGCAGCACGAACCAUAGAUGUAUCUAUUUACUACCGAGGCGUUCGGCCGGACCCACAAAUAGCAAUUUAUUUUUAAAGGAAAACACAAAUUUCACAUUUACAGUCAACUACUCAAUUAAAUCUUUCAAGUUAUUGAAUUUAACCUUUACACUUCUUUUAUCAAGUUCCGACGACUUAAGUAAUUGAAUUAGCAAGUAAGGGUGCAAAUAUUUCAAGUAAAGCAUGAUACGGAUCCUAAACUACCCGGACAAUAGCAUAAUAGUAGCUACGUAUGGACUCAUGUCACCCCGUACGUACAUAGCCCCCACAAAUAAGUACACACAUUUAUUUAAUUCAUCUAUGGGGUUAAUUCCCUCUUACAAGGUUAGAAAGGAGACUUAUCUCGUCUUAAAGCCCACUUUCCAGUCACAAUUUCGCUCUAAAAGCCCCAACUUGGUGCCGUUCAAUCCGAAACUAGUCAAACAACGUGCAAGUUAAUUAAAAAUAUACUUCAAUCCUUGAAAUUUAACAAUUUAUAAAAAAAAUUCAACUCCGCUCGAAAUGUUGGUAGUGGGGCCCACGUCUCUGAACCCGAUGAAACUCACAAAAUUCGACAACCUAUUUCGAUAUGAGUUCAACUAUACUAAUUUUAUCAAAUUCUGAUGACAACUUGACUUCCAAAUCUUAAAUUUUCGCUCUUGAAAAGUUUUGCAAAAAUCUUGAUUUCUUCCAUUUAAAUCCGAAAAAAAUGAAUAUAACCAUAGAAUGUAUAAUAACUUUAGGAUAUAGGACACUUACCCCAAUUCAUAUGAUGAAAAUCGCCUCAAAAAUCGCUUUAAUCCGACCUCCAUAGCUCCAAAUAUGUUAAAAAUGGCCGAAACCUCGAAAUAUAGCUUCUGCCCAGGUAUUUACUCUUUGUGAUAGCGGAAAAUACUUUGUGAUCGCAAUGCACAACAUUUUUAGCCCAAAAUUUUCCCUUCGUGAUCGCGGAAAAUACUUCGUGAUCACGAAGAACAAAUGCUCAGCUCUUCCAAACAGCCUCUAGUACAAUGGUCAUAACGUUUUGUAUAAAACUCCAAAUUGCAAUUGGUUUCACUUUUUUAAAAUUAGACAUAAAGAGCAACGACUUUUAUUUUUAGAUCAUCUACAAAUUCUUUAUAGAUUGCAAGAUACAAGCUUCCAAAGUCGGGUCAUAGCAGCAGAAACUUUCCUCUACGCGAUCGCGAAAGCCCUUCCGCGAUCGCGACACUGGCCAAUUUCUCCUAUUUUACCCAUCGCAAUCGCAAUUAGUUCCCCGCGAUCGUGUAGCACACCGCUUUAGCCAAAAAUAAGCAGCUAAAAAUAGCCUAGAAAUGGUCUGAUACCACCCCAAAACUCACCCGAGCCCCUCGGGACUCCGUCCGAACAAACCAACAAGUCUCAAAACAUAUAACGGACUUAGUCGAGGCCUCAAAUCAUAUCAAGCAAUGCUAAAAACACGAAUCACACCCCAAUUCGAGUCUAAAGAAACUAAGAAAUUCUAGUUUCUACAUUCGAUGCCUAAACCUAUCAAAUCACAUCCGAUUGACAUCAAAUUUUGCACACGUGACAUUCGACAUUACAGACCUACUCCAACUUCUAGAAUCAGAAUUUGACCCCGAUAUCAAAAAUUUCACUCCCGUUCAAACUGCUCAAAAACCUUCAAAUUUAUAACUUUCGCCAAAUGACCCCGAAAUGACCUUCAGAGUUAUACCCAGACUCGGAAUCCCAAGUGGACAUAUAUAACAUUGAAAUACACCUCAACCCAAAUUUAUGAAAUUCUUCCAAAAUGUCAACUUCCACAAUAGGUGCUGAAAUGCUCCUGAGUCAUCCAAAACCCAAUUCGGACAUAUGCCCAAGUCCAAAAUCAUCAUAUGAACCUGUUGGAACCUUCAAAUCUCGAUUCCGAGGUCGUUUACUCAAAAAUCAUACUUUAGUCAAUGCUUCCAACUUAAAGCUUCCGAAAUGAGAAUUUUCUUUCCAAAUCAAUUCCGAACCUCCCGAAAUUCAAUUCCGACCACGCAUACAAGUCAUAAUACCUUAAGUGAAGCUACUCAGGGUAUCUUGAAUAGAAUGUAAUGCACUCUUCUAUCCAAUAUCCCUCUGUAAUUGAACCUUCUGGAUGGCUUCUACUCCUCACAUAAUUUUUAAGAGUAAGCAAGUACCUAAAAUAAUAACUAAUAUUAUAGUUCAAUAUAAUACUUCAUAAGUACUAUAAAUAAGAAUAACAAAAUGAUACCUUUCAAAUACCUACAUUGAACGGUAUGGUGGAGGUCCACCAGUCCUUGCUUCUUUGGCUAAAUGAAUGACUAGAUGUUUCAUGAUAUCAAAAAAAGAUGGAGGAAAUAUUCUCUCCAAAUGACAAAGAGUUAUUGCAACUCGAUCUUGGAGCUUUUCUAAUUCACCUAUGUUUAUAACUGUUGAAAAAAUGCCCCUAAAAAGGUUACUUAAUUCGAUCAUUNNNNNNNNNNNNNNNNUNUUCUAAGACCUCACAAAGCAAUAGGAAGGAGUUGUUGUAUUAAAAUAUGGCAGUCAUGACUCUUCAAUCCAUGCACAAUGCGUUGCUUAAGAUCAACACAACGUGAUAUAUUUGAAGCAUAUCCAUCUGGUACCUUCACAUCUCUUAAAACUUGUAAGAGCAUAUCUUUUUGUGCAUUGCUCAAAGUGAAACAUGUCAUAGGUAGAUAGUAUUUGCCAUUAGCUCUUUUUUUAGGGUGCAACGCCUUUCGAAUCCCCUUCUCUUGUAAAUCCAUUCGAGAAUUCAGAUUGUUUUUUCCUUACCCGUCAACAUUUAGUAAUGUCCAGAACAUAUUGUCAAAUACAUUCUUUUCAAUAUGCAUUGUGUCAAGAUUAUGGCAAAUCAUAUUGUCUUUCCAGUAGUCUAACUAAAAAAAUAUGCUCUAUUUCUUCCAUAAAUAUUGCAAUAUGGCAUCAUCAACAUGAUCAAAAUUCUUCCAUUUUCUUUUCUGGGAUUUGGUCGAUGAAUGUUUUCCGAAUUUUUUUUAAUCCCUUUCAAUUGCUUAAGAACUUCAAUACCUGACAUACAUUUAGGUGCUACCUCUAACUCCUUACAACCAUCAAAUGAAACUUUAUCUUUUCAAAACUUAUGCCCAUGGGGUAACCAUCGCCUAUGCGGCAUGAAAUAAUAUUUUUGCCCAUAUUUCAAUCUCAGAAAUUUAGUCUUGGAAAGACAUCAUGGACAAGCAUAUCUAGUUUUCACACCAUAUCUUGAUAAUUGUUUUAACUCAUCAAUUAACGGUCGAAGAUAAACAUCAAUAUCAUUGCUCGGUGUAUGAGGGCCAUCAAUAAUCAUUGAUAAUAUCAUGUAUGGUUGCUUCAUGCACAACCAUGAUGGCAAGUUAUAUGGAACCAAGACAACUGGCCAUGUGCUAUGUGAGAUAAACAUAGACUUGAAUGGAUUAAAUCCAUCUGAAGCCAAUCCAAGUCUAAUAUUUCGAGGAUCUUGAGAAAAAUCUUGAUGCAAUUCAUCAAAUUUUCUCCAAGCAACACUAUCAGCAGUAUGCCGCAUUACCCCGUCUUUAGUGCGACCUUCCUCAUGCCAUCUCAUAUCAGUAGAUGUUUUAGAUGACAUAAAUAAUCUUUGAAGCCUCGGUAUCAACGGAAAGUAUCUAAAUACCUUUGCUGGAAUUUUUGAGGUUUCCAAACUACCAGAUUCACCUACAAAUUGUUUGUAUCUUGGAGCUUUGCAAAACUUACAAUCAGUUCGAUCUUUUGUCUCACUCCAAUAGAUCAUAUAAUCAUUUGGACACACAUGUAUUUAUUGUAUUCGAGUCCUAAAUCUUUAAUAAUUUCUUUUGCAUCAUUAAAGGACUGGGUAAUAUUUCACCUUCAGGAAAUAAACAAUUCUAACAGCAUGGAAAAUGAAUUAUUACUCCACUCAUUGAGACACUUUACAUGUAAUAGACGAACAAUAAAAGAAAGAAGUGAAUAUUUGCUUCCGGGAAAUAAUUCACGCUCAGCUUCUUUCAAUAAGUUAAAAAACUUCUCUGUGUUCUUAUCAAAUCCCACAUUAUGUUGAUUUUACCCACCAAAACUAUCACCAUGGCCGUUAAUAUUAAUAAAGUCACUAGUAGGAGAAACUCCAAAAGCAUCAUGCACCAAAUCUUGUAUCUCAUCACCUCUAUCUAAUCUAUCCAUAGACAUUGAUGAAGAUGAUGUCUCACCAUGAAAAAUCCAAUUAACGUAACUAGGUAGAAAUUCAUCAACCACAAUAUGUUCAACAAUCAAUUCUUUCGGGAUAUAUUUUAUAUUACGACACUUCUGACACUGACACAAGAUUUCAGAUGCAUUAGGCCUAUCUAAUGAGGCAAAAUGAAGAAACGUUUUGGCUCCAUUCUCAUAUAAAAGAUCAUUCCUAUUCAAUAUUUUUAUCCAAGUCUUAUCCAUUAAGAAUAACCUAUAUAUAUAUAUAUAUAUAUAUAUAUAUAGCAAAAAAAUCAACUAAAAGAGAGUAAUUAUAGAUAGAAACUAUAAAGUGUAUAUCGUAGAAUACGAAUAUUUAUAAUAAUUUAUACACUUUACUAAUGACUGUACAAAUGUGUUCAUUCAAGGCAUGGAAAAAAAACAUAUCUAGUUUCUUUAUUAUUUUUUUCAAAAGUGAAUCUUACAAACUAGUUCACUCUAUGGCCACAUUAUUUAAUAUUUUAUCAUGACUAAGCAAAAUCAAACUAUAGAAUACCAUAAUUGACAUCUUGAGUAAAUAUAACUUUUAAAAAAUAAUUAUCAAAUUGAUGUUUUAUUGAACUUGAUGUAGAUCUAUUUUAGAUUGAACUAGUAAAUGACAUCAUACUAAUCCAAUAUUUUAAAAUAGUACUAUUAUUUCUAUACAUAAAGUUUAAGUACUACAAAUAUACUUUGGAAGCAAACUUAAAUAUCCUAAACAACUAGGAAAGAAAAAACCUAGUAAGUAUUUUUAGAACGCAAAAAUCUCAUAUCAGAGAUAUGAAUAAAGCAAAACAAAUAAAAGAAAUGCCCCCCAAAAAAAUGAACUUUCUUCCAUCCAUCAAUUCGUCAAACUAUGUUUCAUCCCCAAAUAAGUUAGUGUUGCUAUAAAAAUCUAGGUCCAUUGUGUUCGUUAUUAUUUAUCUAUUCUUUUAUAUUUUAAUCAAUAUAUUGGUCAAACAACCUACGGAACUCUCUUUCUUUAUCAGGUUAAAAAGAUUAACAUUCUUAAAAAAACCGAACAAGUAGGAAAAAGAAAGAAAAUUGUUAACCCAAAUCCAAACAAUUAAGAAAAAGAAAUAAAUAUGUUAACCCAAAUCCAAACACCUAAGAAAAAAAAAAGUAAUCUGUUAACUAAACUGGUACCUUGACUUUGUAGCAAAUAAGCUUUGUGAAUCUCAGCAGCAAAAACCUCGUGAUAAAAAUUUUUUCUUCUCCAAGUAUCUAUUAUAGCACAGCCGAAUGUAAAAAAUUAGGGUUUUUGAAGAAUUCUAACUAAGGAAAGAAACUAUAUUUUUUAGAAUUGGGAGGAGGGAAGCAAAAUUCUUACCGCCAAAAUCUUUUCCUUCUAAAUCUCCAAUACUCACCAUACAUAGUUCCUUGUAGAAAAUCUGGCCAAACUCAAUUUGAGAUUUUGAGCCAAACCCGAUUUGAGAUUUUGAUUGAGAUAGGUACAGACUUCUAAGGCUUGGAGUACGGCUUUUUACUUAUGUUUUAAAUUGUGG